This 746-nucleotide long non-coding RNA is filed under the name Gossypium barbadense (sea-island cotton). RNAcentral describes it as "long non-coding RNA (GBAR_LNC019745)". The record is from RNAcentral. Lineage: Eukaryota; Viridiplantae; Streptophyta; Magnoliopsida; Malvales; Malvaceae.
UUAAAAAAAAAACUAAAAAAGCUCUCAACCUCUCCCUUCUCCUCCGGGCACCAGCCUAAAGCCCGGUCAUCGGCCGGUCACUGGCCACGGCGCCUGCCGUCGAUCUCCGGCGCCGACAUCGCCGUAUGCGGUGGCCGGAAAAGGGAAAAUUUAGAUCCGAUCCCUCCAAAGCCCUUAAACAUAAAUCCAGGCUCAAAACCCUCAAAAGAUUCAUAAAAACACCUCAAAAGCCCAAAAACCUUUCGAUUUCUGGCCAUCUUUCCUCGAAGACGGUUCAUCGGCCGUUCACGGCGAUCGGGGCUCAAAACACAGGUUGUUUCUUCUUUUUUUUUCCUAUUUAUUUUAGUACCAUGGGAAUAUAAAAAAAACCGUAAACGAAAGUAAGCAAAAAUGUAGACCUUUAGAUUGGUUUCUUGCUUUCUCGGUAUUUGACUAUCUGUUGGUAUAAGAAUAACUGCUCUUUCUUAUUGAUUUUCCAAUUUCGGAUCCUUAUUACAGUGUUCUUAAUGGCUUUUUAUAGCCGAAAUAAGAAUAAAAAUAAAUCAAAAGAAAAUCUGUUUGAUCUGCAAAUCUUUGAUUUUCUUUCCUUUUGCUGUUUGUUUCCUUGCAGGUGGAGAUCGCGGAGAUUCGGAGGACUUGUCUUGCGGCGCUAUUGAAGAUUAGAAACCCUAAGGUUUCUGACGAUCUUGGGCCACCGCAAAUUGGGCCUGUGUUUUAUUUUUGGGCCAUAUAGGCCUACUUGUAAU